RNAcentral lists this ribosomal RNA (505 nucleotides) under uncultured bacterium. RNAcentral's name for it is "partial 16S ribosomal RNA". It matches the Rfam family "Bacterial small subunit ribosomal RNA", at positions 28 to 507 of the family's 1533-position model. The record is from RNAcentral.
GACGAACGCUGGCGGCGUGCUUAACACAUGCAAGUCGAACGGUGAAGGGACUGGUUUUGCUGGUCCUGGAUGAGUGGCGAACGGGUGAGUAACACGUGAGUAACCUGCCCCCUUCUUCUGGAUAACCGCAUGAAAGUGUGGCUAAUACGGGAUAUUCUGGGUCUGUCGCAUGGUGGGCCUGGGAAAGAUUGCGCCUUUUUUGGUGUUUUUGGUGGGGGAUGGGCUCGCGGCCUAUCAGCUUGUUGGUGGGGUGAUGGCCUACCAAGGCGGUGACGGGUAGCCGGCCUGAGAGGGUGGACGGUCACACUGGGACUGAGACACGGCCCAGACUCCUACGGGAGGCAGCAGUGGGGAAUAUUGCACAAUGGGCGCAAGCCUGAUGCAGCGACGCCGCGUGAGGGAUGGGGCCUUCGGGUUGGGAACCUCUUUCGCCAGUGAAGCAGGCCUGCCUCUUUGUGUGGGUGGGUUGACGGUAGCUGGAUAAGAAGCGCCGGCUAACUACGUG